Non-coding RNA from Schistosoma margrebowiei, 78 nucleotides. Lineage: Eukaryota; Metazoa; Platyhelminthes; Trematoda; Strigeidida; Schistosomatidae. The record is from Rfam.
AGCAUUCUGUACCUGUGUUAAGAUUUAGUCAGGAAGCAAACCAACAGGACUGACUAAACUUUCAAGAUAAUCGAAGUA